This 427-nucleotide ribosomal RNA is filed under the name uncultured prokaryote. RNAcentral's name for it is "bacterial SSU rRNA". It matches the Rfam family "Bacterial small subunit ribosomal RNA", at positions 355 to 774 of the family's 1533-position model. The record is from RNAcentral.
UGGGGAAUUUUGGACAAUGGGCGAAAGCCUGAUCCAGCAAUGCCGCGUGUGGGAAGAAGGCCUUCGGGUUGUAAACCACUUUUGUACGGAACGAAACGGUCUGCCUUAAUACGGUGGGCUAAUGACGGUACCGUAAGAAUAAGCACCGGCUAACUACGUGCCAGCAGCCGCGGUAAUACGUAGGGUGCGAGCGUUAAUCGGAAUUACUGGGCGUAAAGCGUGCGCAGGCGGUUAUAUAAGACAGUUGUGAAAUCCCCGGGCUCAACCUGGGAACUGCAUCUGUGACUGUAUAGCUAGAGUACGGUAGAGGGGGAUGGAAUUCCGCGUGUAGCAGUGAAAUGCGUAGAUAUGCGGAGGAACACCGAUGGCGAAGGCAAUCCCCUGGACCUGUACUGACGCUCAUGCACGAAAGCGUGGGGAGCAAACA